GACGGGGCCGCACAAGCGGUGGAGCAUUGUGGUUUAAUUCGACGCAACGCGAAGAACCUUACCAGGGCUUGACAUCCCCUGACCGCGUAUGAAAGUACGUUUUCACCCUCGGGUGACAGGGAGACAGGUGGUGCAUGGUUGUCGUCAGCUCGUGUCGUGAGAUGUUGGGUUAAGUCCCGCAACGAGCGCAACCCCUACGUUUAGUUGCUAACAGGUGAAGCUGAGCACUCUAGACGAACUGCCGUUGACAAAACGGAGGAAGGUGGGGAUGACGUCAAAUCAUCAUGCCCCUUAUGUUCUGGGCUACACACGUGCUACAAUGGCCGGUACAGACGGAGGCGAAGCCGCGAGGCGGAGCAAAUCCGAAAAAGCCGGUCUCAGUUCGGAUUGCAGGCUGCAAUUCGCCUGCAUGAAGUCGGAAUCGCUAGUAAUCGCAGGUCAGCAUACUGCGGUGAAUACGUUCCCGGGCCUU
Molecule: ribosomal RNA, 472 nt
Filed under: uncultured Pelotomaculum sp.
Lineage: Bacteria; Bacillati; Bacillota; Clostridia; Eubacteriales; Desulfotomaculaceae
Description: bacterial SSU rRNA
Rfam family: Bacterial small subunit ribosomal RNA
Source: RNAcentral